AUGGCUCAGAUUGAACGCUGGCGGCAUGCCUUACACAUGCAAGUCGAGCGGCAGCGCGGGGGGCAACCCUGGCGGCGAGCGGCGGACGGGUGAGGAAUUCGUCGGAAUCUGCCUUUUUGUGGGGGAUAACGUAGGGAAACUUACGCUAAUACCGCAUACGACCUACGGGUGAAAGUGGGGGACCGCAAGGCCUCACGCAGAAAGAUGAGCCGACGACCGAUUAGCUAGAUGGUAAGGUAACGGCUUACCAUGGCGACGAUGGGUAGGGGUCCUGAGAGGGAGAUCCCCCACACUGGUACUGAGACACGGACCAGACUCCUACGGGAGGCAGCAGUGAGGAAUAUUGGACAAUGGGCGCAAGCCUGAUCCAGCCAUGCCGCGUGCAGGAUGACGGUCCUAUGGAUUGUAAACUGCUUUUGUACAGGAAGAAACACUCCCUCGUGAGGGAGCUUGACGGUACUGUAAGAAUAAGGAUCGGCUAACUCCGUG
Molecule: ribosomal RNA, 489 nt
Filed under: uncultured bacterium
Lineage: Bacteria
Description: bacterial SSU rRNA
Rfam family: Bacterial small subunit ribosomal RNA
Source: RNAcentral